CAGGCGCGCAACUUACCCUAAUCUCGAUUCGAGGAGGUAGUGACAAGAAAUACCGAUGCGGGACCCUACGGGUGCCGCGUUCGGAAUGAGUACGAUUCGAACCACCUAACGAGGAACGAUCGGAGGGCAAGUCUGGUGCCAGCAGCCGCGGUAAUACCAGCUCUUCUAGCAUAUAUUAAAGUUGCUGCAGUUAAAACGCUCGUAGUUUGAAUUAUUUCGGCGUCAGGCUGGCUGGAAAAUUUAAUUUUUCAAGCUGUCUGGUGUCGAAUUAAAGCUUGGGCAGAGGCGAUUAAUUUCUCUCUGUCCAUUUAACCUUGAAAAACAUUGUCGCUCAAAAAAGGACGGAAAGGUCUAUUGAGAUUUCAGCAUGGGAUUAUGAAAAAAGGGAGGCAAGGACGAGAGGGGGUAAAAGCCUGAUUGACUUGUUUCCAAUGGUUAAUGAGGACGAUGCGUGGGAGUUCAUAUUAAUAAGUCAGAGGUGAAAUUCUUGGAUUUUAUUAAGAUGAACAUCAGCGAAGGCGUUCUUCAAGUGCGUGCC
Molecule: ribosomal RNA, 538 nt
Filed under: uncultured eukaryote
Lineage: Eukaryota
Description: bacterial SSU rRNA
Rfam family: Eukaryotic small subunit ribosomal RNA
Source: RNAcentral